RNAcentral lists this ribosomal RNA (373 nucleotides) under uncultured organism. RNAcentral describes it as "partial 16S ribosomal RNA". It matches the Rfam family "Bacterial small subunit ribosomal RNA", at positions 527 to 896 of the family's 1533-position model. The record is from RNAcentral.
GUAGGUGGCAAGCGUUGUCCGGAAUUAUUGGGGUGUAAAGCGCGCGCAGGCGGUUCUUUAAGUCUGAUGUGAAAGCCCACGGGCUCAACCGUGGAGGGUCAUUGGAAACUGGAGAACUUGAGUACAGAAGAGGAAAGCGGAAUUCCACGUGUAGCGGUGAAAUGCGUAGAGAUGUGGAGGAACACCAGUGGCGAAGGCGGCUUUCUGGUCUGUAACUGACGCUGAGGCGCGAAAGCGUGGGGAGCAAACAGGAUUAGAUACCCUGGUAGUCCACGCCGUAAACGAUGAGUGCUAAGUGUUAGGGGGUUUCCGCCCCUUAGUGCUGCAGCUAACGCAUUAAGCACUCCGCCUGGGGAGUACGACCGCAAGGUUG